RNAcentral lists this unclassified non-coding RNA (229 nucleotides) under plant metagenome. RNAcentral describes it as "partial contains small subunit ribosomal RNA, internal transcribed spacer 1, and 5.8S ribosomal RNA". The record is from RNAcentral.
UCUCCGUAGGUGAACCUGCGGAGGGAUCAUUACAGAGUUCAUGCCCUACCGGGUAGAUCUCCCACCCUAUGUUAUUAAUACUUUGUUGCUUUGGCGGGCCGUUAGGCUCCGGCCCGACUACCGGCCCCGGCUGGUAAGCGCCCGCCAGAGGACCCAAAACCCUGAAUAUUAGUGUCGUCUGAGUACUAUAUAAUAGUUAAAACUUUCAACAACGGAUCUCUUGGUUCUG